UAAUAGUAGAUGUUGCAUGACAUUUACUUAAAAGGUGCAAUUGCAUCACUACCAGAUGGACCUGCGUUGUAUUAGCUAGUUGGUGGGGUAACGGCUCACCAAGGCGACGAUACAUAGCCGACCUGAGAGGGUGAUCGGCCACACUGGGACUGAGACACGGCCCAGACUCCUACGGGAGGCAGCAGUAGGGAAUCUUCGGCAAUGGACGGAAGUCUGACCGAGCAACGCCGCGUGAGUGAAGAGGGUUUUCGGAUCGUAAAGCUCUGUUGUAAGAGAAGAACGAGUGUGAGAGUGGAAAGUUCACACUGUGACGGUAUCUUACCAGAAAGGGACGGCUAACUACGUGCCAGCAGCCGCGGUAAUACGUAGGUCCCGAGCGUUGUCCGGAUUUAUUGGGCGUAAAGCGAGCGCAGGCGGUUAGAUAAGUCUGAAGUUAAAGGCUGUGGCUUAACCAUAGUACGCUUUGGAAACUGUUUAACUUGAGUGCAAGAGGGGAGAGUGGAAUUCCAUGUGUAGCGGUGAAAUGCGUAGAUAUAUGGAGGAACACCGGUGGCGAAAGCGGCUCUCUGGCUUGUAAC
Molecule: ribosomal RNA, 578 nt
Filed under: uncultured Bacilli bacterium
Lineage: Bacteria; Bacillati; Bacillota; Bacilli
Description: bacterial SSU rRNA
Rfam family: Bacterial small subunit ribosomal RNA
Source: RNAcentral